Molecule: ribosomal RNA, 253 nt
Filed under: uncultured bacterium
Lineage: Bacteria
Description: partial 16S ribosomal RNA
Rfam family: Bacterial small subunit ribosomal RNA
Source: RNAcentral
UACGGAGGGAGCUAGCGUUAUUCGGAAUUACUGGGCGUAAAGCGAGUGUAGGCGGUGUGGUAAGUCGGAUGUGAAAGCCCCGGGCUCAACCCGGGAAGUGCACUCGAUACUGCCACGCUAGAGUAUCGGAGAGGUUGGUGGAAUUCUCGGUGUAGAGGUGAAAUUCGUAGAUAUCGAGAGGAACACCGGUGGCGAAGGCGGCCAACUGGACGAAUACUGACGCUGAGACUCGAAAGCGUGGGGAGCAAACAGG